ACGAAAUAUGCUUACGGACAGAGCCGGUUGAAACCAUGGUAGAGCCAUAUUUUUAUGCUAAAUCUUUUAAAUAAAAUUAUUGUGUCACAAUGUUAGUUACCAUACUCCUCUGAAACGCUUCGACCGAUUUUUAUGAAAUUUUAUAUGUAUGUUCAGUAGUUCUGAGAAUCGGCUACUAUCUAUUUUUCAUACCCCUAAGUGAUAAGGGUUGCCCACCUCUAAUAUUAAUUUUUUAUUUUAUUUUUUGGAUAAUUUUUAUUAUGUGGUUGAAUGAGGUUUUUUUUCUAUUAUAGAAAUUCCCCAGAAAUCUUAUAUAUUAUGGCAAAACAACGUUUGCCGGGUCAGCUAGUAAUGUAUAAAGGGACAGAGCUCUGGAACAGAGUUGACAAAUAUUAUUGGAUGGGCCAUUAAAAAAAUGUGUAAAUAAAUGUUUAAUUAAAGAUUUAAAAAGGCACUAACGCUGCUGUUGAAAGGGUAUUUUCACUAGGGGAUGAUUAUUGGAGCAGUGAGAAGUCGCAACUUUCUGUAAUAACAUUAUCUGCCGUCUUAACAGUCAAAUUUAAUAUGCUGGAAUGGAAAUUGGAAGCUGUUCGGAUGUGGCUACAUUAUUAGACGAACAUCCUCAUUUGGAAAAAAAAAUUCACUCCGAAGAAAAAUAUGUUUUUAAAAGAAAAUAAAGUUUUUAUCGCUUUUUUUUAAGUUUCACUUCAAAAACACUA
Long non-coding RNA from Bombyx mori (domestic silkworm), 719 nucleotides. RefSeq lists it as uncharacterized. The record is from RefSeq and is a predicted model, not a curated record. The transcript is spliced from 3 exons. Lineage: Eukaryota; Metazoa; Arthropoda; Insecta; Lepidoptera; Bombycidae.